GUGAGGGUUCAAGUCCCUCUAUCCCCAAAAAGGACUCUUGGGAUCCGAUUC
RNAcentral lists this transfer RNA (51 nucleotides) under Celastrus hindsii. Its description in RNAcentral is "partial tRNA-Leu". Lineage: Eukaryota; Viridiplantae; Streptophyta; Magnoliopsida; Celastrales; Celastraceae. The record is from RNAcentral.